CCUACGGGCGGCAGCAGUGAGGAAUAUUGGUCAAUGGGCGUAAGCCUGAACCAGCCAAGCCGCGUGCGGGAUGAAGGUUCUAUGGAUUGUAAACCUCUUUUAUAAGGGAAUAAAGUGUGGGACGUGUCCUAUUUUGUAUGUACCUUAUGAAUAAGGAUCGGCUAACUCCGUGCCAGCAGCCGCGGUAAUACGGAGGAUCCGAGCGUUAUCCGGAUUUAUUGGGUUUAAAGGGUGCGUAGGCGGCCUGUUAAGUUAGCGGUGAAAGUCUGUGGCUCAACCAUAGCAUUGCCGUUGAAACUGGGGGGCUUGAGUAUAGUUGAGGCAGGCGGAAUGCAUGGUGUAGCGGUGAAAUGCUUAGAUAUCACGCAGAACCCCGAUUGCGAAGGCAGCCUGCCAAGCCAUGACUGACGCUGAUGCACGAAAGCGUGGGGAGCAAACAGGAUUAGAUACCCCAGUAGUC
RNAcentral lists this ribosomal RNA (460 nucleotides) under uncultured bacterium. RNAcentral describes it as "partial 16S ribosomal RNA". It matches the Rfam family "Bacterial small subunit ribosomal RNA", at positions 338 to 795 of the family's 1533-position model. The record is from RNAcentral.